CACAGUGCCCUCGAGCGAGAACCUCUCUCACGCACAACUCGAUCCCUAGCUCGUCUCCCCUUCUCCGCCACCGCCGCCCGCCCGCCCGCAUCCCACCCCUUUCCUUCGUGUCCUGCCCACCUCCUCCCCUACCACUGCUCCUCCGCUCCGGCCCGGACCAUCCUCAUGCUUCCGCGGCUGUAGUCGCCUGCUCUCCAGACCUUGGAGCACCGCGGACGUGCUACAACCAUGUUGGGGAUGAGGCGGAGUAUGUCGCGGCGGCGGCGACGAGCACCGCGAACGCGCUACCUCCUCCGCUUCGGCCCCUCCACACCAUCUGCCGCCUCCGCCGACCUUAGUGGGCAUGCCCUGGUCGAGCCCCCCCAAAGUCGGAUGACGGCGCUGAGGAGAUCACGUAACCCCAGGGCAGGGCGUAGCGACCGGCGAGGAGCGCCUCAAGGGCGUGGCCCCCGAUUCGUGGGUCGACAGCGUGGAGGCAAUCGUGUGUGGACAGGAUAUGGCGGUGUUGCGGCAAGCGAGGAGCGCCACUGCCGUUCGCACAAGAUCCGCCGUCUCAUCUCUGCGAUUUGACCGCCGUCGGCGGUCUGCGAUCCACUGUUCACAUCCGAACUUGCCAGAGCCGCGGUGCCCCAUGAACCACCCGCCUCAACCAUUUUGUUUCCCUUUGAUGGUAGUGACGACGACGGCCAAGAUGUGGUAGUUCUCUGCAUGCAGUGUGGUGGCAUGGUAGAGAGGGGAAGCAGAUGGAAAACUGGCAGCGGCUCUAUCUGCAGGUGGCAUGAUGGAGAGGCUAGGGAGCAACAAAUGUUGUAUUGGUCACUUUUUCUGUCAUCUCUGUUUGCACUAAUAUGUAACUUUCGCCUGAUCAGGGGAUACCGCAAAGAACACGAGCAAAACAUUGAUAGGAGGUGAUGAGGACUAUGACCGAAGGCAUGUAUAAUACCUACAAUGAACUGUCAAGGCAUGUCUAAUCUAAACUGAAAUAUAUGUAAGACACAGAAAGCAAGCAAACAGCCGUCAAGGCAACGAGCAUGCCAUGUGGUGCGUGGAGCUAUGCCUUGUGCGUCCUGGACAAAAUCGACAGUAUGCUAAUAUCACUACAACCCAAGCCUAAUCCGUCUAUCUGAAUUCAGAUAUACGAAAGGCACAAGAAGUAAGUAAACAACUGUAAGGCAUGUUCGUGGAGGCCAUGUGGAGGGAUGGCUUGUGCAGCUGGGAGCGAAUUGAUGCGCGGGAAAAAGUUUCCUUUACCCAACUGGUGCAGCAAAAUCUCUAUGAUACGACCAGUUUCGUCUAUAGUCAGACCAACGACGACGACGUACAAGCUGCCAACCAGAAUCAAGCUUCUGCGACUUUGCUAGUCACUGUUGGGGAUGUAUUUGUACCAUCAUAUUUACGAUCGAGUUUUGGCAAUGAACUAGUUGCCAUUGCAUGUAUGCAUGCGCAUACGCCAAGAAAGAUUGGUCUUGUUCAGCUAGGAAAAGGAAAAGAAGUACAUCUGGAACCUCUACAUGCACGUGAUUUCCUUGGUAAUUUUGGUUGGCAUGAAGCCAAAAGAUUACGACUUCGGGACUCUAAUUUCCAUGGAGAAUCUCUAUUCCUAAUGGAGCAGUUGGAUCUUCAUCCGUCAUCCUGAGCAAUUGGGGCGGCGAUGCGGGCGAGCUUCACGAUAGUGGGGAGGACCAGGCCGCGGUGAAGGCAGGUCAUGCGCUCCUCACGCUCCACGAACGGAACCUGCGCACGGAGGCGGUAGCGCGGGGUGGCAGCCGGCAAUGAGGCGGCCGCGCUACGUGACGAGCUACGGGUCCCCCUUUGUGAUGUUUUGGCAUCGCUCCUUCAUCGCACAUCCUCAGGUUCCUCUUGCCCUUCCCUUCCUCUGUCCUCCUCUCCCAUCUCUAUGCUUUCACGUGCAUCCAGUUUUGAUUCCUCGUGUGAUAUAUACCAAACAUAGGUACGUCAAUUCACUUCCUUCCCUUCCCUUCGUCCCUCGGUCCCACGCUCGUGGCGCUGAAGUGGUGGCAACAGGCGAUGGCGGUGGUGUCGCUGAUGGCGGCGAGGACAGCAUGUGGCAGCUCCCGAAGCAUGAACACGACCGCACCUCGGGCCUGCCGUCUGCCAAGAUAUGGCUCUGGCCGAUUGACAAUGGAGGUUUGGGAUCCUUCCUCUCAGCACCCACUCCUGGAAGAAUCAGCGGUGCGCCACGCCGAUUGAACCCCGUCGAGAUCACUCGCCAAGAUUGCUAUUCUGAAGUUUAUUGUAAAGAAAGUGAAGAGUGAGACAGGAUCCGUUUAUUUUCAACCGGUUUAUUUUCAACCGGUUUAUUUCCAUCAAAUUACCCCCACCCCCACGCCCACCCACCGAAACGCGCCCAGCGAACCGGGGAGAGAUCCAUUGAGGGAGAGAUCCAUUGUACAAGUCAGUAAUAAUCUAAGGGGGUGCCCUACCGGAGAAGAUUAUGAUAGUUGGACAAGAAACUUGGUACUGUCGUGUAAGGUAAAGGUAGGAGAAAUAGGAGAUAAAAGCAUGCAUGGUGGGAGAAGGAAGUCGAAUGUCGCGUGGUAGCUCAGACAUGGAGUGUGGAAGAAAGACAAUGACGAGAUGUAUGUAUCUACUAGAUCAUGACCAUGAGAUAUCAUCCCAUAGAAAUGACCUUUGACUCUCAUGUCACAUGAAUUUU
Molecule: RNA transcript, 2677 nt
Organism: Triticum aestivum (bread wheat)
Lineage: Eukaryota; Viridiplantae; Streptophyta; Magnoliopsida; Poales; Poaceae
Exons: 5
Source: RefSeq, a predicted model, not a curated record